GGUGUGUCCACGUCCCACCAACAACUUCUCCACCAGUGAAACGUGCAGCUCAGGAUUUAAGCAGCUGUAAAUGAAAAUUUGCAAAGAUCUCGUGUGUGUUUUCAGAACAAUCGGCUGAAUGCGUAUCCACUCAGUCCACUGUAGUGUCCUUGACUGCACUCUUUGAUACAUUGUGGGCUGUUAGUGGGCAUCCAAGCAGUGUUUCAGUAUGUGUGUGUGUGUGUGUGUGUGUGUGUAGACGAUGGGAAGUUUCAGGAGAGGGCACUGUAGAGGACAGUAUUUUUCCAUAUGACAGGGCUUUGUGUGCACAACAUCACACAUACACAGUGGAGUCAGGUUUCAGUGCUUCCUGAAUCACCUGUCAGUGAGGAGGAGUGCGAGGCUUUGUUGAAAUGAGGAUUGCAAACAGAAAGGACAGGGAGAAUGAGUAAAGGGGAAGAGAAAGGGAGGGAAGGAGGGGCAGAGAGAGAGAGAGAGAGAGAGAGAGAGAGAGAGAGAGAGAGAGAGAGAGUGGGUGUGAAAUCUGUUCCUGUAACUUAAGCCAAGCUGCAGGCUGUGUGUCAGAGGUGUGUCGAGGGGAAAACACAGCCUUUAUAGACGUACAGACCACAAAGGCCUCAUGUCACCUCACCAGGGAAUGUCUCUUUACACAACAUUAGUGGAAAAACUGAGAACUCUAAUUUAAAAGAGGUAUAAAACUACUUUUUGUCAUAAAGCCAGAUGACUAGACUGAAAAAGUUUCAUUUGAAUUAUAGGGAUUACCCAUAGUCACUGUGCACAGGAUGGAUGGAUGGAUGGAUGGAUGGAUGGAUAGAUAGAUAGAUAGAUAGAUAGAUAGAUAGAUAGAUAGAUAGAUAGAUACUUUAUUGAUCUCAAGGGAAAUUCAAGAAAAAAAGAAGUGAGGAUUUACCCGAGCUAUGCAAGAUCAGAUGAUGCCCUACUGUAAAUAAAGUGCUUAGUUAUGAUUUCUAGCUGCAGAGUGCUGAGUCACAGUAUAAUGACGCUAAUUUCUUUCCUGCAGCAGAAACUCAUAUUCAUUCUCAGUGACUCAGUGGAUUUCUCUUUUGAUGUGGAGAUAUGUGGACAAUACCUGUUUUUAGGCCUCGCCCUUUGUAAGCCAGAGCCACCCUGGUCAGCUUGGAGCUCAUUGUUAUUUAAGUGGGCUAUUCAGUUAGCUGAUUAGGAACCCAUUCUUAUUCAAAGCAGUACAUUUAAAUAACAAUCCAGUUUAGCUCGCUGAGUGCUCAUGUAAUGCAUAUAAACUGCCACCUUGCUCAUGUCUUAGUAAAACCAACACGUAUGGUUGUACAGUUGCAUUGUAUAUGACCACACAGUUGGUGGUAAAAGGUGGUGACAGGAGGAAUAUAACCAUGAAGAUCAGUGAGUAGCAGGGAGUGGCAGCAGUAAAACUUUUAUUUCAGAAGGAUACAUUUUACGUAUGUAUUUUGAGACCACACAGUACAAAGUAGACUCUCAAUCAUCAGUCUUGAUAUGCUGUAACAGUUUAAUACAUUUCAUGGCUAAUGUGUCAACGAACAAUUGGCUACCAUUACAUAAAAGAGUAGUCCACUUUAUAGUAUUGCACUCCUUUCAUGCUGUCAUACUCACAAUGGGCAGUUUAAAAUAAAGUAUCCAGAUCAAAGUAGCAAAACCAAUUCAGUUCAAUUUAUUUAUAUAACACCGAAACACAACAACAGUUGUCUCAUGACACUUUCCAGUUAGAGCAGAUCAAGACCAAACUCUUUAAUUUGAUUUUUAGAUACCCAACAAAACCCCCAUGAGCAAACGCUUGGCAACAGUUCCAAGGAAAAACUUCCAGAAACUGUUUACAGUCUUUUUUCAGUCCACUUAGUCUUCUCUCUCAAAACCUGCUAAUGUAGCCUUGAGUUGUCAGCCUCAAGCAUUGGUGAGGAGCUUCCUUUUUUAAAAAAAAUCCUCAAACUUCAGCUCCAGUCCACUCUGAUUCAAAUAUUGUUGGAGGCUCUGGAGCCACAAAAAUGUUUUUACAACUUCUCUUCCAAGCCCCGAUUUAAGCCUCAUUAACAUCAUCUUGGAUGGAAGGUAAUGAUGGGAAUGAUGCCCACAGUCUGGACUAGCAAACCUUUAUGCCUGUUCAAACUGGCAAAUCCAAGUUUCAUUACUAAAAAAGUGCAAUUUACUAUUUCAGUGAUUAUUCAUAUAAUGUUGAGGUACUACUUGACAGUCAAGGUUUGUCCCUUGUCCCUUGGGGUAAAGAAAAUGAUCAUUUUCCUGAAUUAAGAUUAAUUUAGGGUUUGUGCAGGAAGGCCUCAGUGUUUGCCAUCUUCUCAAACACUGGUGUUAUUCAGAGCACAGGGAUCGGAGAGAACUAGAUGGACUCAAUCCCAAUGACCAGUGGGCUAAAACAAUGAGCUACAAACUCCAGAGAGCUGCAGACUGAGUAUUGAUUCUCAAUUGAAUCAGCAGCACCAACAACAAUUUGACAUUACAGGGAUGCAUUUGUUCCACUGUCUCACAAACAUAAUGAUAAAUGUAACUUGAACAAGGUGUUGGUUAAACAGAAGUGUGGAUAUGUGAGUACAGGACCAUGCAGAGUUUGUGAGAAAAGUCAGGGCUUCCUCAUCCCCUCUGGAGUUCUACUCCUUAUACAGGCAUUAAAUUCAAAUCUACACUCUACAUUAUUGGCGGAAACUGCAGAUAUUUAUUGCAGAAUGUGUUUCACAACUCAGCUUUCAUUUCCCCAGGUUGAACAGCUGGAUCAAACAGACCAAAUGCAAAAAACACAUACACAAAUUCAUAUUAUAUUGGAGGACAAAUCAAAAAGAUGUCGCAAAGUAUCAAGUUAACUUUCAAAUACUCAAGGCUGUUCAGUUCAGAGUUCAUUAUGAUAGUGCAGUAAGUACGUCUCAAAGGUCUACAAAUGUGUAACAUAUAUCACACAAACAUAACCAGGUGCACAUAAAAUUGAAUGUAAUCUGGUUUAACUGUAGUGCACCACUCAGAGUAGACAGCAUGAAAUACUCUGCUUAUAAAUC
Scatophagus argus is the source of this 3014-nucleotide long non-coding RNA. RefSeq lists it as uncharacterized. Lineage: Eukaryota; Metazoa; Chordata; Actinopteri; Scatophagidae. The transcript has 2 exons. The record is from RefSeq and is a predicted model, not a curated record.